UACGUAGGUGGCAAGCGUUGUCCGGAAUUAUUGGGCGUAAAGCGCGCGCAGGCGGCCUCUUAAGUCUGAUGUGAAAGCCCCCCGGCUCAACCGGGGGAGGGCCAUUGGAAACUGGGAGGCUUGAGUAUAGGAGAGAAGAGUGGAAUUCCACGUGUAGCGGUGGAAAUGCGUAGAGAUGUGGAGGAACACCAGUGGCGAAGGCGACUCUUUGGCCUAUAACUGACGCUGAGGCGCGAAAGCGUGGGGAGCAAACAGG
This 256-nucleotide ribosomal RNA is filed under the name uncultured bacterium. RNAcentral describes it as "partial 16S ribosomal RNA". It matches the Rfam family "Bacterial small subunit ribosomal RNA", at positions 524 to 776 of the family's 1533-position model. The record is from RNAcentral.